GGGUUACUGAGAGUGAUUUCAGCUAAUGGGAUCUUUUGUCACUUAUAAAACAUGUGCUGACUAAGGCGUGGGCAAGUCUGGUGUCAGCCGCCGCGGUAAUACCAGCACCCCGAGUGGUCAGGACGAUUAUUGGGCCUAAAGCAUCCGUAGCCGGUUGUUCAAGUCUUCGGUUAAAUCCAGCAGCUCAACGGAUGGGCUGCGGGGGAUACUACAGGACUAGGGAGCGGGAGAGGCAAGCGGUACUCAGUGGGUAGGGGUAAAAUCCUGUGAUCCAUUGAGGACCACCAGUGGCGAAGGCGUCUUGCCAGAACGCGUUCGACGGUGAGGGAUGAAAGCUGGGGGAGCAAACCGGAUUAGAUACCCGGGUAGUCCCAGCUGUAAACGAUGCANACUAGGUGUAUGGGNUAGCCUUGAGCCAGCCCAGUGCCGCAGGGA
RNAcentral lists this ribosomal RNA (435 nucleotides) under uncultured crenarchaeote. RNAcentral's name for it is "bacterial SSU rRNA". It matches the Rfam family "Archaeal small subunit ribosomal RNA", at positions 373 to 809 of the family's 1478-position model. Lineage: Archaea; Thermoproteati; Thermoproteota. The record is from RNAcentral.